GUUCAGAGCCAAGGUGUGCAUUCAACUUCAGGUCCAUGGGGAACAGGCGGUAUUGGUCUUUGUUCAGAUUACUAUUUGGAAGCAGGGUGUCUGUGGUGAGUGUGUUAACCUUAGGAGAAAGCGGAGGGUUGAUGAGAUUGACUACUUUAAGGUUACCAGGAGCCAUGGGUUGCAGCUCUUCAUCAUCUCACUGCCAUUCUAGCCACCGACUUACGAUCAGCAACAACCUAGAUCUGGG
This 238-nucleotide long non-coding RNA is filed under the name Homo sapiens (human). Its description in RNAcentral is "HSALNT0184907". Lineage: Eukaryota; Metazoa; Chordata; Mammalia; Primates; Hominidae. The record is from RNAcentral.